UUUCCACUAUAUUGUGUCACCUUGCUGAGGGUCCUCGCUGAAGCCACCUCUGAUGGGACUUCCUUUGUAGAUCUUUUUUUUCGACAUUGAGCGGAGACCAGUGCCACCACCACCGUUCACUGGCAACCAUCGCUCUCGGCCUUGACUAUGUACACCUUCUUCGGCGAUGGCACACACCUUCCGACCUUCCACUGGCCAGCACCCAAGCACAGCAUCUAGUCGGCUCCUGGCUGACUACCCC
This 241-nucleotide long non-coding RNA is filed under the name Elaeis guineensis (African oil palm). RNAcentral describes it as "long non-coding RNA (EGUI_LNC019696)". Lineage: Eukaryota; Viridiplantae; Streptophyta; Magnoliopsida; Arecales; Arecaceae. The record is from RNAcentral.